UUUUUUAGUCUUUUUCAGAUCAUUAUACGUUUGAAAUACAUUUGGAAAUUAUCGAUCAUUCUGGAGCAAAACCGUGAAAAUAUUCUGCAAGAACAAUCCGGAGACCAAAAACAAUACCUAAUUCGUGGUUA
RNAcentral lists this small RNA (131 nucleotides) under Arabidopsis thaliana (thale cress). RNAcentral's name for it is "ATSL043790". The record is from RNAcentral. Lineage: Eukaryota; Viridiplantae; Streptophyta; Magnoliopsida; Brassicales; Brassicaceae.